UAUGCUUGAAAUCCAUAGGAUAAAGCUUACACAGGUCUAUUCCAAACAUGGAGAAGAGGGAGAUUCAGAAUCACUGAUGGAGUACAAUAAAUAUGCAAGAAAAAGGUAUUGUUUGGAUGCCUCAGGAAAAAAGCAAACUUUGGGGAAGAGAGGAAAUUCUGCUGUCAUUAAACGAAGCUCCCUUGUUACAUACAUUUCUUGUUUUACUCACUGAUGUGUCACAAAAAAGCAGAUUUACUUCUAGAUUCUGCCUGACUCUGGGUCCUGUAACAAGGGAGAUGGAAGGAAGAUAUUUUAUUUAAAUGAAGUCAUCUUGUUUAAAUAAUUGGUAAUAGAUAAAUAGGAAUAAUAGAAAGCAGGACCAAAACAGCAAUGGGGCACUGGUCCAGCUGAUGCUGGUGAUGUCCUUGUUGCAUAAAACUUACAGAAAAAUGAAUGUUUACUGGAUAUUGUGUUCACCUGGAGGGGAGCCAAGGAGCUCCAGAAAAGACACGCAAGAUAAAAGUAAAGCCUUGAGAAGGUAAAAAACAAUUUAAAAUUAAAGGGGGGACACAGAAGGAGAAUUGACUUAGUCCCAGCGUUACUCCCAGCUCACCCUGGGCACUAAGUGGGAUAUUGUAAAUUUUUGGUUCUGUGAGGAGCCCAGAUUCAUGUCAUGGACACAGUCAGUGGCAGUGCUGAUGAGUCAGAAUUCUGGUUUUGUGAUUUACAGGGAAGUCAUUUGAAAAGUAGUGCCAUAUGGGAUGAUGCUUGAUUUGUAAUUCUAGAAGUUAACAAUUCAGUCUCCUGCAAAUCCUGAGUCUGUCAGGGAUUUCUCAAGUGAUGUGCAGCAUAGAAUAUGUCCACUUUUAUUUUUCUAUUUGGAGUUAUUUUAUACAAAUCAGCCCUGGGUUUGCUGGCAGAGGACAUAAAAUAAAGAGCAGAGUGGUACAAAGGAGGGAAAAGCUGGUUCAUUCUGGGCCGGUACAGCCAUUCCCAGAGUUCUUCCCCAACACAACUCCAUCCACUCCUGAAACCAAAGUAAUACUAAUAUGUUUAUUUAAAUCCCUGUGUAAAAUUUAUUUUUCAAUACUACCAUAUUCUGCAUCUCUACAUCCAUCUACAUAAGGAGUUCAACCUGAAUUUCAUACCUCUGUAAUAAAAUCCCUUUUUCUCUGUAUCUCCUAUGGUAGGGCAUGGCUAAGACAAGGUCUCUAUCAACCUUGGCAAGGAAAAGGAAAUUUUGUCUUCUCCAUAAUUAAAUGCAUUAUUUUCAAAAUAAUUUGAAAAUAUUUUUUUAGGCAGUCAAUAUUGUAUUUUUUUCUUUAUAUUUUUUUUUAAAAACAGAAAGCACUUUAAAACUUCUUUUGUUUUAGUACACUUAUUAUAGUUAAGAUUUUAGGUUUUUCUUCACCUGAUAAUUGACAUGGAAAUCCAGGUUCUUGUAACUGUCUUUUUCUUGGUGAGAAAAAAUACUCAGCCAUUUUUAGUCAUUAAUUUUGCAUGAGUAAGGCUUCUUUAGCCCUGCACUUACCAAAUAUAUGUCAUCUCUGGUAUUCUAAAAGUAUAUUUGAUAUCAGAAAACAAAACUGUGACUGUGCCAGCAUGUCGUGGCAUCUUAUCCAUUAAUAUUUCUUCUUGCUGGAAAUGCAGGUCUUCUUCUCAAUCUCAGCACAGAAAUCCUCAAUUUCAAAUUGAGGAUUUUUUAAAUUAAACUAUUUUUUUUAAAUUGUCUUUUUUUCCUGCACAACUGUUUUUUCCAGCUCUCCUCAAUUGGGCUUCAUGUGAUGGUUUUAGACAUAACAGCUUCAGUUCGAGUUGCCUCCCUUCAAAAAUUUGAAAAUGUGCACAGAUCCUGAUCAACAUAAAUUAGCAUGGCUCUGCCUUCUGUUAUCAGUUAUUUCAACUAUAUGAAACAAUCUGUUUCUGUUUCAAUAUAAAAUAAGAUGGUGUGCACGUUUACAAUACAUAGCACUUCCAGACAUAAGUGGGAAUACCUGUUGAAGGGCCCUGUGAGUAAAGACAGCCUGUUAAGGAUCUUUUUUAUGCAUGAGAGGAACAUCCAUGCAGUCACUGUGUUUGCAGGAACGUGUGGGACUGGUUUGGAAUGCAGAACAACAUUUCUGCACUGUGGCAUAGCCUUUUCCUUAUUUAUUUUUAUAUUUUUGCUGGGGGGUGAAAGGUUGAAGUGGUGAUACCACAUCAUUAAAAUCCAUAGGAAUUCUGACAAUAAUUCAAGGGAUUCAGGAUAAAGUUUAUACUGGAAAAAAAAACAGUGGAAAAGUAGGAGCCAAAAAGUGUCUGCAUGGCUACCCUGGUAUUGUCUGUCCCUUUUCCUUACAGAAGUCUUGGGAAAGGAGGUUGCUGCCAAUAUUAUUAAGCUUUAUUUUGUGCUGGCACUUAGCUAUCAGGAUAUCUCUGACAUUUGAUGGGGUCUGGAGCAAACUCUUUUUUUUUUUGUAAUAGAAUUUUUAUGUCUCUGACUAGCCAAGGAAAGGAAGAAUGAAUUUUGUGAGCACGGAGUAAAUAUAAACCAGAGCUUUUAUUCUUUUCCAAACAUUAUUCUGCUUUUAUUUUUGCUUUAUAGCUAAAGGAUGUCAGCAGCUCGGAGCACAAUUUUCAAUCAAUGUUCUUCACUCCAAGGUCUGAAAUCUCUGGUUCUGUCUGUGCCACACAUUUGCUGCUCCGUGGGGUGAAGUGUCCCUGCCCACCAGCUGAACACCUGAAGUACAAGUGAAGCUGCACCUUCCUGAGAUAUCCCAGAGUGCAAAACAGACCCUGCCACCACGGGUGGGAAACCAGGGUGUGGGAGCAGGGGAUGCUUUCAUUUACUCCCCAUCCCCACGUGGAGUUCAGCAGCAGGGAAGCACCUGAAGGCUUCACAGUAACUGCACUUCUGGGAGAGGGAUGGACAAAUGCCUCCAGAUGAGGUGAAAACACAGGUCCUGUCCUUUGUUGGAGUGUGUAAACUUCGGGUGAGAAAAGAGGCAGGAGUAUGUUGGGCAGGAGAUUCUGGAAAUUAGACCAGCUUAUUGAAAGAAUGAAGAAUGAAGAUUCUGGGUGGUUCUUCCACCUGCUGUCUCACACAAACCCUGGGACCAUGGAAAUAAGAUCAUGUUACAGAAGAGUGAAUAAAGAAGAAUUCACAGAACUGAAUGUGAGCAAAUGCAGUUGCCAUGAGCUGUGGGCUCCAGAACCAAUGCUCAGAGCUGCACGAUUUCCCUACCCAGUGCUAUUGAAUAUUGCCUGGUGAUGAAGUGCCUCUCCCUGCAAGUUCCAACGGCAGGACGAGUCAUUUCAUCUUUGUCCAAAUAAUGGUGUGUUUUGUUUUAGGUGAUAUCUGGCUUCUGAGGCCAAUAAAUGCCUUUUCUGGUGGAUGGAUGUUUUAUGUGAGGCUGUGUAUUCCCUUUGAGUUAUGUGGUAUUAUCAAAGAAAACCAGAAAAGUGUAUAUUUUCCAAAGAGACGUGUAAAGGUUUGUAAUUGUUUUCAUCUUCUUUAUAUUUCUGCUUCACCUUUUGAGCACUAUAAACUGUGAUGGUCUUCUUUCAGCAAAGGUUGAAGGGAACUGUUUCAUUUUUAAAGUGUUUUAUUUCUUAUUUCCUAUCGGAGCAGGGAAUCAAAUGGGGCUGUUAUGGAAUGUUUUUCCCAGUGGCAUUCAUUGCCUUUGAGCUCCCCAUGAGACAAGUGAGUUUGAGGAGUGAAGAAUCCUAAAACACAGAUCCUAGUCCUGUAUGACUGAAGGCAGAGAGCCCUGACUACCCUGAUUAUGUGUGGAUUCAUCAGGGAUCUCCUGGAGGAGAAACAUUAAAGCCAUGGAGUAUCUCUGGUUGAAACUCUUCGUGUCUUAAAAAUAAAAUUUGUACAGGUCUUUCCUGACUUGACCAACAUCCAGCAUCUUUAAUAUCUGCCUUUUCCAAGACAUUUACUCCAAGUUCACUCCUGUGCCUUUGGGAGUAGGAAACAACCUUCUGCACAUUUCUGGCCAGUCUAGGUCCUCACUGAAAUUCCAAGUGCAAGGAAUCCAUGGCCUGUUUGAGAAGGUGACCUUGGUUUUCUUCUUGACAUGUUCCUUUUAUUUUUUUGUCACAUAUUUCCUGUUUAAGACGGGAAAUAAAAAAGCUGUCUACCUGGAGGUGCAGAUUCUCUUAAGAGUGUGACAGUGUGGGACAGGCACUAAAAUGCAGAAGUUCUUUGUGGGAGAAAUGUUCUGAGCUGUAAAAAAACCUGAAUAUCUAUCUUCAUAAUGUCCAAGAAAAUAUAUGGAAGUGGCAGGAUUUCACUGCAAAUUCUUUAAGUUUUCUAUGUUUGCCUGUGUUAUUUGAGUCCUUUGAGGUGUUACAUAUGGGAGUAACAGCACCAAUAUAGUCCGACCCACUUGUUCCAAUCAUUCUUGUGCUUGCCAAUUUUCCUAGGUCAGAUUUGGCUCAGUUUUAUGUGUACGAUGUGUUUUGUGUUUUAAUUUGCUGUAAUCUAUAACUUGCAGACGAAUAUUUUAAUUUGUCCUUGGGAAAUAGAGCAGGAGAGUGGAUGCUGAGCAAUAAAACCUGUGGGCUAAAGCCAUGCAGUACCAGGGUGCUCGUGCGACCUGGCAAGGGGCUUGUGCUGUCUGUCAAUGGCAGCUUAGGAGAUGUUGGGCAAAACAGAGGAGUUGGUGAUUUACAGGAAAAUCCCAACAAUCUGCAUGGCCUGCUUUCAAAUCCAGCCUGAGACAUCUGCAACUUUGGCUUUUCGCUCUUCACAGCCCCCAGAUACAAAGUGAAAUAAGAUUUCAAGGUGUGGAAACUGAGUUUGGUUUAAAAUCAAUUAGCAGCUGUUCUCUCUGUUGGGUUUUCUACUUUCCUUUUUCCCUGUUUUAAAUCACAAUUUGUGUACUCUGAGGCCUGCACUGCUCAGAGCACUGGUUUAGACAUCUAUAUUAGCUGGGAAAUGCUAUUGCUUGUGUUUUUCUCUAAAAUAUCCAGCACUCUAGCACUCUGUUUCUCACUGGCAAUGAGAUCUACAUGCUCUGCAGUGUUGCAGCACCACAGCUUGGUCAAACAGUUGUUUUGUAACAUCACAAGAACAGUGGAAAAUUAAAUGUUUAUUACAGAGUGAAGCAAUAUUAUUGCUCAUAUUGUAGUAGGAUGAGUCAAUAUGAUCUGAUUCUGAUGAAGACUUAUGGAGUCUAAAAAUAACUCAUCCCCAGAGCAGAAAAAUAUGUGAAAAUAUACAGUCUAUCCCUUAAAUCCUGAGCAUUAAGUUGAAUUAAUAGAAGAACUUGUAGAGUGCAUGAUUGAAUCCAUGAGGGAUGUAGUGUGAUAGUGUAUAUUUGCCUAAAAGUUUGCUCUGACAGCAAAAACAAUGUACCACAGUAUGUUUCUUUCUUAUCUAAUGGAAAGAAUAACACACAGAGGCUCAGUUCUUGUAAUGAAAACCCCCACAUUAAUUUUAUUUUUUGAUGUGUCAUUGUAAUUCAAGAGAUGUUUUUAAUCUCAGGAUUGCUCGGGCACAAUAAACCAUUUAAAAAGUAUUUGGCAAAGAUCCCUGUGCUUAGCAACAGCUCCUUUCAUUUAAAACUGUUUUUUGAACCAAGCUAUUCAAAGCUUUGUUCCACUUAUUAAAAUAAAGUAUCUUACUUCAAACAAGUAUUUCAGAGAACAUAAUCAAGAGGAGAGCAUUCAAAUACAAUGCACAGAAAACAUAAAAGGUAGCAGCAUGAAAAACUCCAGGACUUUGUGCAUGUUUCCUUGUUUUUCAUUAAGAAAAACUGUAUAAAAGUAUACUCACUACGUAAUUUCUUUUAGUGUUUUUAUGGGAUAGUUAAUAUUACAUUUCUUACCACAUUCUGAAAUUCAUUGCUAGAUUUAAAGUAACAUUUAAAAGCUGUGCAGCAUUUUAGUGAAUGAAAUAUUGCAUUAGUGGCGUAUUUUCCAGUCAUCUAGGUGACAUAAGACAGCCAGAGAGGAGCUAAAUAUAGAAUAAUAUCUAUUUUUUUGCUGUUGGCUUUGUGCUCUUCUGUUAAGUACAGUGUCUAUUCAUGGCACAGUGUCACCGUGGAAGCUCUUCCCAAUAAGGUGAAGACAAGCUGAGUUCAUUAUGUAACAUCACAUUAAGAAUUUAUUUCAGAUUUCCCUUAAUGUCAUUUUGGAUAAGUUCUGCCUUAAGUUAGUUUGCUUUUGAUAGCAGAGGCAUUGCAAGGCAAAGAUGGCUCCAGGAGCAGGCCAAAUGCAGUUUUCCUCCAGUGAAGGGUUGUGUUCUUUCCUUUGUGUUUCCUUGUUCACCUGCACACUUUAGAAAAUAAGGAUGGAUGCACCAUGCCAGGAUCCUCUUCUGUGAAGAGAUUCCAAAGUUUAGUUUUGUGGGAUACCAGAUGCUUUUUUCUACUCCUGGGUGCUCAGUUCCCUCUGAAGGUAAGAGAGGUUGAGGUGAGGACGAAAGAAGACUGAGCAUAAAGAAUAACCUUGUUCUGCAGAUUCUGCUGGGUUUAAAUUUUGCUUUGUUUAGAAAUGAGAACCCCAGUCUUGAAAAAUUCCCCAUCAACAGAAGGAUCUGGAUCUGUGGUUCUGGCUCAAGCUCUGACCUCAUUCCUCAGGCCGUGGUUGUAGGGUUACAAACACAGCCCAAAAAGCUCCUACCCCACCAUGGGUUCAUAGGAAACUAUGACAUAUCAGAUAUAACUGAUAAAAUUGUCAUAAUCCACCAGAAUUUUGGGGGUAAAACCUGAAAAGGAGCUUUGAAUAAUGGUAGCUCUGCAUAGAUAAUGCUGUAUAACUUUUUCAAGAUGGCAGUGACUGUAAAAUCAAUGCAUUUUUUUGAUCUCACAUUGUGUGGGCAGAAAAAUGGUUAUUUCCAAGAUGUUGAAAAGCUAAUCUAUUCUGUUAAGUUUUUGUAUCUUGCAUAGAUAUAGCUUAUUUCUUUUUUUUUUCUUUUAAUUUUACAAACCAAGUUGGGAGCCUUGACAUUUAUUGGGCCCCCAUAUUUUUCAUUUAUAUUCUCUCUAGUCUUCACCAUCUGUUAUGACAGUAAAUAAGUUUCAAAUAAGCCAUAUCUUCCUCAGCAUGAGUUGCUUUUUCUGCAAAAAAAAAAAUUAAAGUUGCAGUUGGAUGUGAUAUUUGAAGUCACAGCUUGUCUUCAAAUAUUUAGUAGCGUAUCCCUGUGCCAAGGGAUAUCAAUCUGCCAUUUGCCUUGCUUACAAUAUAAUAAAGAUUAUCCAAGCCCUUCUUUCAUAGAUAUGUCAAGGCUUUUAAUUACUAUAGCUCAGGAAGUAGCUCUUUCCACUGGCUUUUUCCAUUUUGCUUUGGAUUAAUAUGGUUCCUUCUUAUCUUUUUGCAUGUUAAAUUCCAAAAGGAGAAUGUUGUGUCUGAUUUUGGUGGAUGUGAUCUUCCCUUACAAAUAAAUUCUUCGGCUGUACCAACAGCACUUUUGUUGUUUUAAAAGUCAGUGCUUGAUGGAUAUUUCAGAUGUUGGUGCAAAAACUCAGGAAGUUCUGCAAAGACGUUAUUGGGUUUUUAGUUCUGGUACAGGCAGGCUGAGGGUAAAUUUGAGGUAUGUUUAUUUUGUGUCUUUCCUUUACACCGUACAAGAACGCUCCGGUGAGAAGGGUUGAGACUUGGAAGUCACCUUUGUACCAACAUGCCAGUUUGCUUUCCAAAUUUACCUCUUCCCUUGAUGAUGAAUAUUGUGUCACAUGGAGACAUUUUCCUCAUCCUUGGAGGACAGAGGUGCAAAAUCACGGGUUGGUUUCACUGGUUGUCUUCUAAACUGCAACAAAUCACCCUGGAACUCUCUCAAAGUAGCUCCUCUGACAAGGAGGAAAUUUCAACUCAUUCCACUCAAAACUGAACAUAUUGCUAGAACAGCAAACAUUCUUGUGGAUUGUGUUUUUUACUGAUUUACCUGUUCCCCAGGAGCUUCCCAGAUGUGUCAGAGGUUUUCUAGGAUAAACCAGGAAUAAAUUCUCCUUGUUCCUUCCACACAUCACGUAAUUCUGUGGCUCCAACUGGCCCCAUCCCGAAUUAUCUUUUUGCCCCAUCCUUUGAUAUUUCUGAAGGCUGCACAUAUAUUUUGUGAGUGGAUUUUAAUAUCUGCAUCUUUCAUCAGUACGAAUUAGUACUUCCAGAAUGGCACCAAAGAGACUAUUGUGACUGAACAUCAGCUCUACAAAACAAAAGGAGGUUGACUGCAGUGUGAUUUAUGUGGAAAGACUCAGGCAAAUUCUGCAACAGCCACAACAUUCAUUAUGCAAAGGUACUUCUGAGUAAAAAAACAAAACAGGUUUUACAGCAUUAAAAUAAUGUUCCUUUUCUAGUCAAAACUGAUGCAAAAUUAAGAUUAACCCUUUUGUUUGUAAGAGGAUUUCCCUUUCACUUCAAUAUUCAUAAUCUUCUUACUAUAAAAAUAAAGCUUUUAUUUUUAUGUAUGCAAUUGUUUUCCCUUUUCACCUGUAAAUAGAGCAAUUGCACUUUUUUAUGAUUUUCCAGUAUUAGAUUAGUUUUAUAGCAUGUUCUGAAAUUUCAUUCUCUUUCAGCAUCAAUCUUUGUUUUGUUUUUAUUACAGAAUUAUACUUACAAAUAACAUCAUUUCAUAACAAUAAACAUAAAAAUACAAUGCAAUACAGCAGUUACAGCUUUAUAGAGUAAACAUUUCAUUUGGAAGAAAAUUCCACUCUCACACUAUUACUUCACAAAAGCAGCAAGGUCAGAAGCUCUGAGGGUUAAUAACAAAGCUGUUUGUAUCCUUAAAUUAGGGAACAAAUAUUCAGGGGUCAAUGACUACACCUGUGAGAAAACACAGAAAGAGGGUUUCUUGUCCACAGCUUAAUUGUUUUGAAGAAGGGGUCUUGGACAAAAAACUGAUUUUCAAUUUGGAGUUAGUGUACAAUGUAGGGUAAAUUGUAUCAAAGCCAAAUGAUAUUCUACAAAAUUAAAUUUCUUUCACCUGACGUUGCUCAGUGCCAGGUAUUUCAAGAGAAUUAAAAAUUUUCCAUGCUACUUUUGCAGACUAAGCACACUCUGGGUAGUGUAGAAAGAUGGCAAGAUGGCAAAUAUGAAGUCAGAAGAUUAGUGCAAGGCAGGAGUUGUUUAAGCACAAAAUGUUUUUCUUAGACUUACAAGAAUUUUCCAAGGUGAUGAACAGAAAUAGGUGUGAAAAGAAGAAAUACCAGUCAGGAGAUUCAUAGGAAAUUUUGAGUAGGGAAGGGUUUUGCCUUAGAUGAGGAUAUCUCUUGAUCUGAUCAUUUGCCGAAUUCUCUCUUCUCUAAAUACAGAUUUGCUUACCAUUAAACACUAUACUGGACCAGCAUCCUUUCCUAGCUUUCUUUUACAGUAGUUGCAAUAUUAAAUGAGAAAUAUUUUGGAAUUAUAUCCGUGUCAAAUAGAAACUUUACAAUUAGAAAGAUAUUCCGACUAAGAGUCCAAUUUUCUGAUAGCUAUAUGUCAUUUUGAUUUUUGUCACUUUGCAAUGCAAAAAUGUACUUAAAUUUACACUGAAGAGCUUUUAGAAUUACACAUAUCUUAAAUGAGGAGUUUUGUCUUGUGAUACAAUGCAAGUUUUUCCCCACAUGCAAUGGCUCCCUCUGAGGUCCCUGGCACAUUCUGUAAAUUUUUGUCUCUAGUGCUCAGCUAAAGCACUUCCAUCUUCCUAAGGUAAGAUUUCAUUUUUCAAAGAUUCUUCUUUAGAAACCCAAGAUCCGUUUGCAAUUCUCUCAAAUCAGAGCCUUUUCCUAGAUUUACUUUAUUUCUUCAUUUUUAAGUCAUAGUUAGUAAAGAAAUCCUAUGCAAAAUGGAAUAAGGUGGAUUUUCCUUGCAUUGUCUUUUGUAAAGUUUGUUGUCUCUUAUUUCCUUUUUACCAGUAUUUGCAGGCAAUGUCUUUAAUUAUGGACCACAGACUCCAAUUCCCAGCUCCACUUCCCUUUUCCUGUUCAUUUCUAGUGAAUAUCUGUGGUUGAUAUUGUCCGUUUUGCAGCACUUUGUCCUUUUUCUGUCCUCUAAGACACAAAUUCUUGCCCUGAGACCCUGUGAAGAGUUAACCAGAUGGCAGAUGAUCAGCUCCUGCUAAUUUGAAAGGGUCUGUUUUAGUCAGUGCUUCCUGACCUCUUUUUUUCUCUAUUCUAGGCUGAGAUUUUACCUCUUCCUUGUUUAUAUUUGUGACAGUCCCAUCCCCACCUGGCCAUGGAGUGAGGGUAGGUGCACCAGGCUGAAGGUUUCCGCCCAUAAUUGUAAUUUGUUGGUGAUGCCAUUGAAUAUGGAACUAGUGAGCCACAGAGUUCCCACUGCGGGCCUGCUCACAGCACAGCUUCUUUUUUUGCUCUAACAACUUCAUUGUUUCUUGAUACCUUCCACUGUGCCCUUCUGAGAGUAAUUCCAUGUUAUUGCAUGACCUGUGUGCUUCUCUCUGUGACAUCAGCAAGUAUUUCACAUUUGGAGUUCUCAUCAUCUGAUUUACCUGCUGAAAAUCAACAGAUUUUACUGUGCUGGUGUUCUUUUCUUUCUUUUUUGUUUCUUUUUAAAGUUCUGAACUUUUUCAUCCUAUUCCAGUUGCCUUAUAUCCAAAUUUUCAACAAGCUUCUUCCUACAAAUAUAAAGAUUUUUUGUAGUACCUCCUUGAGUUACAAAAAAUGUCAUUAAUGCUUUCUAAGAAUUUGCAGGCCAAUUUGUGUUUUAUUUCCUUUACAAACAAUAAAAUCUCCCUGUCUUGGCAAACUCUUUUUUUAGUAAUUCUACCAGUGUCUCACAAAAAAACCUCAAAAAGCCUCACCCAACCUAAUUUUCUUGCUCUGGUAUUCUGUAGUGGAUAGUUAUCAUGAUAAAUGCACAUGUUCUUUAUUGUUGUAUGUAAUAUUGCUCUUUGCAUUGCUGAUCUUGAAGUAAAUAUAUAAAGUGUUGUCUUAUAACAGAGACAAAUGAAGGGAGAGAAGAGGCAGAACCCUGGAGUGCCAUCCUUCAAAGUCGAUCUCUUGGAGGCCUAAUUCAGCUGUAGGAGCAGAGAGGGCAACCUUGUAAUAUUUGCCCUUUGAAAUGCUAUCUUUCAGAGGUGACCUUUAAGCUAACUUGGGAGUCUGACAACCUGGGGCCUCAGCACAAGAUCCUUCUCUCUGUCAGCCCCUCACAGCUGCUAUCCCCUCUGCCUUUGUUCCAAAUAGUUCCUCCUUCUGAUUUUAUCUGCCUGGCUUCAUAACUUCCACAAUUCAGUUAGCAGACUGUUCCCUUUCUCUUGCAGGUACUUCUCUGAGUUUAUAGUUCUGUUGUGUUCUUUACAGACCUCAUUCCUUCUAGGUUAAAUUUCUUCUCUCUAGUGACAAAACCAUUCAAGGACAUUACAGUACUCUGGGGAGAUUCAUAGUCCCACAGCACUGCACACUCAUUUUGGAACUUUGGGAAAUGUAAACCAUGAAGUUAAUCAGGAAAGAGCUCAAACACUCUUGUGACCUGGCAGAAGUGAAAUAUCCAUGUGGCAGCAUACAAAAUUAGGGAAAACUAUAUUAAAUGCUGUGGAUGCUUUCCAAGAACAGAGGAGCCUCCACGAUUACCAAAUCAACCAUUGCCAUCUCUAGCCAUGACCAUUGUCAGGUGUGCUCGUGCUUGUCCAGGCUGUGACAAAUGCAGGUGUGUCUAACAGCAGCUUUUAGGAAUUCAUGUAUACAUUUCCAUGGCUUUUGGAGCGCUGAACCAAAGCUAUCCAUUUAAUAAACGAGCUGCAGAAGUUAGAAGGCAGAUUCUUACAAAUGUAUUUGAAAAUCCAAUAAAACUUUUGGUAAGAGAUCAGAUCGGUAUUACAAACAUCAAGAGUUAUUUUUGCUUCUUUAAAAAUAUUGAAAACUUUUUGGGGUGCACACUUCUCCUAAGGGCUACUCCACUGAAAAUUCCUCCUGCUGGAGAUCACACCUUCACCCCUGGUGACACUUCUGAGGUCCCUCAGAAGCAGAGGCUGUGUUUUUGGGACACCACACAUUUCCCCACAGCUCCGGCAGCCAGGCCCCUUCUCCCACCCCGUUUCCCCUGGCUGAUCUGCACUGUGCAAAAGCCAUGACCUGAGAUGGAAUUUUGGCCUGGAAUUUGGCCUGGAAUUUCAGCAUUUUUCCAGUGCAUUACCUGUCAGCACUUGGUCCCUGAUUAGCCAGGCAGCUAAUGGAACCCCACUGCUAUCUCUGAAAUUCUCCAUUUUCUGUACUGAAUUGUGUUCUUGCCUUGUCAGUGGUUUGGGGUUUUUAUCUAUACAAUUGUUUCCUUGGUUGUCUCCACUGUGUUUGUUUUUCUAAAUGAUAGCCAGCCCCUAUUUUGGUGUAGCACCAUAUUACUUCAUCAAUCACUUGAAGAGGAUGUUGACACAGUGUUAGGUUCUUUUGAGUAAAACAAGGCUGGUUUUAUUAUUUUGUUGUGUAUUAUUUUCCACUAUUCCCAUUGGACUGGGAAAAUUGAGUUUUCAUAGGCCUAAUCUUCUCAGCUAAUGUUAUGAGCUAAAGCUAAGUAGCAUUUGUUGGAAAACAAGAGCUUCAUUUUGUGCUCAACUCAUUCUUUUGUUUGGCAGAGAUGUAACAGAUACUGUGCAGGAAUUCAGACCAAGUUUUUUUAUUCACUGUAUGGCUCAAGUUCUAUUUAGAUGGUUGCUAUUUAACUGGUUGCUAAUUAUAUUUCAAAUAUUGCAAAUAUUAUGUUUAUUUUUUAAAGAGAAGAUUUUUGACUCAGUAUCUACAGUUGAAAUAAUGUCAUGUAACGCAAAGAACAAAUUUGUACAAGUUGUGCAGGAUGAUCUGAAGAGAAGAGACAGCAAGAAAGAGAAACAGAAUUUACAGAAGAUCCAAACAGAAAAAAACCCUGGUUUGGCCAGAAAAAGGCCCAUGACCAUCAGAUAUGAAUUAAUUUGUUAGAUGGAAUAAAGGCCAUGUGAAGAUUGAAAGGGAAAAUGGGUAGGAUGGAGUCAAAAAUCUUUUAUCUUCUGGAGAAGAGCAGCAAGUUUGCAAACUAAAAAAGUACUGGCGGGGUUGUAAUUAGUAGCGUGAGCAGUAUUUUGGGGAAAGGAGUAAAAUGUAUGAGUGGUUUCUGUUCUGGGAGGGAAGGAAAGCUGCCAGAGGAGAGGGUUGCUGGGUGUGUGAGACCAUGGAUGGAGGCUGAGGAAAAAUGACACAUUCACAGUGACUGUAGAUUCCCUGCAGCAAAGGAGAACACAUAAAAUCGGGUGCUGUUCCCCAAAAUUGUCUGUUUUGCAGAGAAUCUGAAGUGCUGAGGGGUUUGUGUAAUAUAUCUGUAGGAGAGAGAUGGGACAGGAUUUCUGUUCAGGAAAUCCAGAACAAGGGAACAGAGAUGUCAGGCAAGAUGAACUCACUGGAGAGGAACCACCUCAUGUUUGGAUGUUCUCCAGAUGAGCUCCUGAGCACACAGGGAGGAACUUUGGAUAUUCUACACAUGCCAAUAAUGAGUGUGAGUUUCUAUGGUGUAUCCUUGUAUUCGUGGCUGCUUGAAUUAGACUUUCUAGUCUUUUCAAAUUCUCAUCAGCGAAAGCUCAUCCGCUAAACAUGGGGAGGAGGGAAAACCCGGAGGAGAUUUCUGCCGGAGUCCGGAACGGAGUCGGCAAAAGGGAAAACCCAGACAGGAAUCUAGCCAGAGUUUGGAAUGGAGUCGGCAAAAAGGAAAACCCGAACAGGAAUUCAGCCAGAGUCUGGAUUUAUCCCGGCGUCUGGAAGGGACUCGGCAAAAGGGAAAACUAGGACCGGAUUGAUCCAGGAGUCCGGAAUGCACUCGGCAAAAGGCAAAACCCAGACUGGAAGCUCGUCGGAGUCCGGAAUGGAUCCGGCAAAAGGGAAAACCCAGACUAAAUUUCUCCCGGAAUUCGGAAUGGACUCAGCAAAAGGGAAGAUCCUCUUGAGCUUGCAGUUGUUUUGCUCCACUUUUAAUUUUUUUCUAACGUUCUAAGGUAUUAUUCAAUCUCUCAGAGCAUUUUCCAGAAGCAAGAUAUUGUUCAGCAUUGCUUAACACCAUUAGUUUUACAAAGAACAUGACUUCAGCAGAAAGAUUUGAAUUUUUCUAUUGACGUCUUUACUUAGAGGAGGUUCAUGGUGAAGCCGAAUGUAAUGAGAAAUAAAAACAUCUGUAUUUUUGAUACAGCCAAAUCUCUAGAUAAGGAGGCAUGGGAUGAAGACAAAUACCUGUCACAUGGCUGUACUCCUCUGCUGAGUAGAUUUAAAUAUGUUUUACUCUUUUUUUGUCAUUCUUUUUUCACCCCAGACUUGCCUCUUGUCCCAGUCUAUAAACCAUUUUCUAACUGUCCUCUUGCUUCCCAUCCAGAUGAGUAUUUCCAAACCCUCACCUAACACCAGACCUCUUUUAUUUUUAUCAGUCCUCACACCAUCCUAUUUCUCUAACUACAACUCAGUUUAUCCCUUCAAUUUCUGCUUCCCCUUUCCAUUCACAGCUUAUCUUCUUUCUGUAUUUAAUCCUGGUUCUCUUCCCAUUCAGACCCACAUUUCCCAGAUUAUCCCAUCGAGGGUUUGCUGACCCUCCCUGUAGCAAAACAGAAAACAGAAUUCUGUUUUCACCCUUUUGCAUUUGCAGCAGCUCAUUUUCCCUCUCCAUUCAGAAACCCCUUCUACUAGGAACAGGGUCACUGAUCCCAAAGGAGAUCCAAGUUUUUCCCCUAAACCUGCACACACCCUCUCCUGAAGCAUCUAAGAGCAAGAUUACACCAGGGAUUGUUCAUAAUUCAGUUUUUCAAGGAUUUUCUGAGUGUGAGUAAGGAUGUGCAGGAAAAAGAAUAAUAAUUAAACAUCCUGUAAUUUACUUUUUAAAGCUCUUUAGGGCUACAGGUGUAGAGCUUCACGUUACAUGUCCCAGAACAAGCUGAGAUGUCAGUCCAGCACUCGGAGCAUUACUUGGGCUGUUUGCAGGAGCUGCUGAGCACCUUCGGGCAGAACUGGGUAACGUGGUUGGAGAACUGGGAUGUGACCCCGGAGCAGGGACCAUCCUGUGGCUCUGAGCCCAACAGGUUCCUGACACAGAAGGUCUUUGCAAAGUUCUGUGUGAUACAGCUACAUAUCCUUGCUUUGAAUUUUGAUCUUAUAAAGCUGUCAAUAUUAUUCACUUCUUGUGUAGUGACAGGCAAUCACCUCAAACCUGACAAAUAUUGAGUAAUCUACUCAACCUUUUGCCAUUCAGAGGGAAGCUGACAAAUCUUUCUUCUUGGCUAUCUUGUUUGUAACAACUUUUUUGACCAAAGAACAGCACUUUUUCUUCAGACAGCAGAAAUCUCCAUCCCAAACUUCCUGACCAUUCAGUGAGCAAGUCAUCUCUGUGCAGGAACCCACACAGUUUAAAAGCAGCAUAAUUCCCAUUUAUUCCUUCAAACAAUUAUUUUAAAUUCCUCUUGCAGUGAGAGAACAGCCUUAAAAUAGGCUCCAUACUUGAACAUUAGUCCCAGAAAAGCAGAUUCCAGUGAAUUGUGAGGCAUUUCUGUCACCUGGUGCCAAACCCAGCCACUCUGAUGUUAAGGUAAAAACAUCCUGAUUCUGCCCAGCAGGAUAAGGAAAACAUAUUUUGUGUUGCUUACACUCUCAUUGGUUCCUUGCCAAAAAGACAGUGUUUUUAAAACUUUUAAAUUAUUCACUUUUCUAACUUAAGCAUUGCAAUGUUUGUAACCUUUCCAUCCAGUUUCUGGGGAUGCUCUGGUGGUCCAUGGCAGAGGCUGGACCCUGGCAGUCACCUCUUAUUUAAAUUAUGGGAGAAUCCAAAGAAAAGAGAUGUUAAUGAGGAGGGAACAAUCUCUCCAGACACAUUGUUCAUAGCACAUAUUGAUUUCUAGCAUGUCAUGGCAAACAAAAGUUUAACAACUAUAAUUUUAUGAAAACGACAAUUGAACAGCACAUCUGGUGAGAAUUCAUUUAUGCUUUUUACAUUUUUAACAACCUGGCUAUUUUUACUCUCCUCAUCCUCUCAAAGGGAGUGCAAUGUAAUGAAGCAUGGAGCUGGAACUAGGCCACACCUCAGCUGGAAAAUGUCAAAUUCUAUUAUGCCAUCUUCAAAAGCAUAAAUCAUAGCUGCACAUUUUUAAAGGUAUAAAUGAGGGAGGGAACACCAUAAAACAUUUAUUUGAACUCAUGCAAUGUAUUUAUAGUACAGAAUGGUAGAGUAUGGGAUUUAUGUAAUGUAAAAAUAUACCAAACAUUUAAAAGUUGACAUCUAUGAUACACAGUAUCUUCUCUCUGAUGAGAAAUCCCUUUGCGCACUGACCUUUCUUGAAUUUAAUUUUUCUGGACGUCAGCUAACAAACUAACCUGCUCAAUGUUAGUUCUUUUGUCACUUAAAAUCCUUGUUUUAUAUAGGACAAUAAUUUUAAUUGUCUUAAGUUUAAAGAAAUGCUUGAUUUAUAUAAUACCCAGGAAUCUACAUUUCAUUUUUUUUAAAUAUUAAAUUGUACCUUUCAUGCAUUAUUUCCCACGUUUCAUUGCUUAAAUUAUGUAUGGGGAGGAGACUCUGUCUCUUUGGCAGGAGCAGUACCAUAGUUCAUAACUCUUCAAAUAAAUAAAUAGUAUUUACUGAGCAUUUAGGAGGAGGAAGGAAGAUUGUUAUACUCUCUUGCCUUCUCUCACUCUUACUGUUUUCUUGAAUACUCCAUUUAUUCCCAGAGAUUUUAACUGCCUCACUACAGCCACUUUUCUGUGGUUUGGGAGACACUAAACUGUCAGAGGAGCAGAGAUGACCAUCUACUGCUUUGACCAACACUGCUGCCAUGGUGGACAAACCUUUGACUCAGACAUUUAAACACAGAUUAAAUGGAGGACAGAUUAAAGGGGAGGACAGGUUGAGGAUACUCCUGAGCCUGUUUUGCUGAGGAUUUGCAUUCCAGAAUCUCACACCUGGCUGCUGAACACACAGGUCCCUGUGUCACAUUGCUGGAAGCCAUCCAAGCAGUGACAGGGGUUUCUGUUCCACAUUGAUUCAUUCAUCUGGAAUUCCUAAUCCUGGAUCUGAAGGUGAAGGCAGUGCAGGCUGUUUGCUCAGAACUGUCUCAGGUCACCCUUGGAUGGGAUGGGGCAGGAGGGAAAAGUGAAUUUUCUCUACUCAGUGAUACACACAUCAACCUGUAUAAAUACAUAAACUACCUGAUCUUUUCAUUUUCUUCACUGAGUAGACCAUAUAGUUUUUUACUGCUUUUAGGAGAAAGCUCUUGAUCCUAACAAUGCUGAUGCCAUUUAACUUUAUUUUGUAUCAUUUGUUACCAGCUUAUAUUUCCACACUGUUCUUGUGCAGUAGAUAUUUCAGUAUUGAACAUUUGAAAUCUUAUCUACCAUUCUGUUCUGACUGAUUUAAUCUCCUUGGCUUUAAAUUGUCUGUCUGAAAUCACUGCAGAAUGGAUCAAGAGGGGAACACUCAGCUCAUCUUAGAAGGAGGUUAAGAUGCUAUUCUUGAGUUAUUCUUAAGAGUUCUUAACCUGUUCUUAAAAUUUUAAGGAGCUUUUCUUAGACUGAAGUAUUGCAAGGAGUAAGUUGAAGAUUUAAAGGUGAUAAAAUAGUUUAAGAAUAUUAUGGAUUGUCUUGCACCGCCUCAGUAGUGAUUUCUUGCCCUUCCUGACCACUUCAGUCUGGGCAACACAGCCCUGUGCCACAGCCACUCUGGAAAGCAGGUGAUGAACCAGACUAGCUUUAAAAAAAUGAUGAAGAAUUUGAAGGAAAAAAAAAAAAAAGUAAAAAAUAAAAGUCAGGGCAUGAGCAGCUGGAAGGGAAGGCUGUUCCCUGGCAGCAGGGACUGAGCAAAGGGCAGACAACACCCAGUGCAGUCAGUAAAGGGUUAAUGUUCAGCGGCUCUGCUCAGCCCUGGACAGACACAUUCUCACUAAUUUCCAGCCUUCCUCUCUAACACUUAGCUUAGAACUCAGCAGAAACCGUUUGGGUUGUGUUGUUGUUGUUGUUGUUUUGGGGGUUUUUUGUUGGGUUUUUUUUUUUUUUUUUGAGUAGACAUUUGGCAACUUGUGAAGUGUCAGAUGAGCACUGGUGAAUUUGAGAACUGGGGUGAACGUUUGUGUCAGGGAAGGAAAAAAUCUUCACAGCAGAAUGCACCCUCUAACCUGAGAGUGGAGGCACCUGAAAGACAGUAACUUUAUUCUGUUCCAAUUACAUUAAAAGCCAAAUCCUGCACUGCUGACGCUUUACAGACUUUACAACUAUUGAAAUCUGGUUUAAGGGACUGGCUGCACACUGGAGACUUAGUCAGUAUAAACUGAAGGUGGUGAGGGUUUAAACUGGGGCCUAAAUAUAAUUUACCAUGAGACAUUAUGGCUGAAAAUUCCUAUUUAAGUGCCAGCAAGGCAGUGAGAGCAGUCUGUAGGAUCCAGGAAAGCAGGAUUCCUGCUGGGGUGUCCUGUCCAGCAUCAAGGCUGUGGAAGUCAAGGCAGUGAGGGCUCUCCUGCCUUGGUUCCUGGGGUGCAGUCCCAAAAAAUGCCCAGGUCCAACUGUUCAGCCUCCCUGAUUUUUUCUAACCCCCCUGGUCCCUUCUCUAUGGAUUCUCAUCUACAUGAUAAAACACUUCAUAAAUCUAAAACAUAAUUUACUGGACUAUUGUUAGGGAAUUUUAGAUUUAUCAUCACUCCUACUAAUUCCAUUUAAUCUAUUAAUUUACCUUCUAUUAAUUUAUCACAGCUUUCUGGGUUGGCUGGGUUUUUUCCCUGCUCAUCUGCGAGGUGUUGGAUGCUGACAGUGACGGAAACCUCACAGGAAGCAUUGACAAGGUCUGAAAAAUAAUUCUGGAGCCCUUGUGUUGCUAAGGAAGUUUCAUCAGUAGAACCAACGAUUUGAGAUUGUUUUCUCAGCAGAGCAUGAGAUAAAUGAGAACUAUUUCCAGAUUCAGUAAUUUUGAAAUCUGAAGGAACGAUCUUAUCAGUUUGCUGGCCACCCUGAACGGAAUGCAUCAAAAAAGAUUAAUAGGGAACAGGGAUACCUGUUUUCUUUCAAAGCAAAAAAAGCCCUGCAAAAAUAUUUUAUGGAGCAGUUUUUACCUACUUCACUUUGCAUUAAAUAUAAAAUCUAUAUGUUCUGUAUAACUAGCUUUUCAUUCUCCACUGCUGGGAUAAGAAAAUUGGUAAACUAAAAGAAAAACAGGUGAAAUUCAUUACAUUAGAAAAGAAGAUUCUCUAUGAGGUCUGAGCUGCUGGAAUAUUUAAUGUGGCAUCCUCCAAAAUUUUCCCAGUGGGUAAAGGAAUCUCUCAGGAAAACUUUGUUUACACAGUUUAACCUAAGAUGCAUCUGUAUGGAGAAAAGAAGGAUUUUUUUUUUUUCCGUCAGCUACAAAAUUUGACUGUUUUGAAAUCCCCCAUCCUCAGGUGUAUGACAAAAAAUGUUAAGACUAAUAAAGAUAAAUAACGUGACUGCAAAAACCCAUGUCCAAAUACAAACAAAAGAGCAACUUCUGUUUGUUGAAUCUCUUCCCUAUGUAGCAAGCCCUGGCUAUUUUAAUAAAUAUGAAAUAUUCCAAUUCCAUAGGAUCAGGCCUGGGCCCAAGAGUGGCAGGUGAUCUGUUCCUGGGGCUCCAGCAUUCCUGAGCCAUCCGAGGGGAAUACAUGACACAAAUCUGUGCAGCUCAAUUUAAUGUGCCUGGUUAAACGAGCACAAACAUUCCUGUGCAGCGCAUUUGCAGCACGCAGACAUUUGUGUCACAGUAUCCCUGCUCAGGAUAUAUUUGGAAGAUAAUUGGAGGGGAUGAAACCUUUUAAAGGGAUCAUUAGAAUGUGUAGAAUACUUCUGAAACAAAGAAACAAAAAUCUGCUUUUUUUAAAGUUAGUUUAACUGAGCUACUUCCAGACAAAAGCAUAUUCUGGUAAUGAUAGUUGUUGAGUGAUGAAAACUGUAUUUCACUUAAGAAUCUAUUCUUUUUAUUAGAAUUGUAAUCCUUAAUUUUUACUUCAAUACUAGGAGUCAUAAUCCUAUUUUAACAGCAAUUAAUCUGGUGUUCAUUUACCACUGAGCAAUUUUCAAAGUGCAUUUGACUGAGCUACAAAUAAAACCUCUCCAAGUUCAAAAUGUUUUGAUUUUACCACGUGCACCUGAUUUGGGAGAUUUCUGGUGGCUUCUCUUGCCAAUAAAAAUUGAUAACUUCUAUUUUUGGGUUCUAAGUUUCUAAUUCUCAGACGGUGCCAUGAAUCUGAAUAUAUUUCCAAAGUCUGAGCUUCCAGGCCCUCCAGCCUCUGCCCAGCUGGUGUCAGUCAGCAGAACCUCCCUGCUCAGCUGCCCUUGUGCAAGAGCUCUCUUAUGCUUUUAGGCAAUUCCCUUUUCUGAUGUUUUGAUUUUCCUUUGCCUUUUCUCACCUCUCUGGAGCAGUUUCAGCCCAUCAGUCCAUGAAGGCCUGAGUUAUUUUGGGGGACAGCUCAUUUGUAACUGACUUUUUUUUUUUUGCUUUUCUCCCGGGGCAAUACGAUGUAGGUUGGAAGUGUUGGUUUGCUUUUAUAUAGAGGAGUUAAUCUGAUCAAAGUGCUCCAAAUGUGCUCUAUGCAAACAAAUUCCUAUAAAUCUCAAAGCUGGAUUUAAUCUUUGUCCUCCUUCAGCUUUUUUUUUUUUUACUCCUGUAGUGAUUUUUCUCACGUGCAUUUGUCAUGAGCUACCUAAUUCUGUUCUUAAACAGAAUUCUUUUAUUCCACAGAAAUUAACUUGGCAUAUGAGUUCUCACCCAAAAACUGGUCCACAGCAGCCUGAAUAGGAAGAUUCUGAUAAUUAAGAUGUCAGUGGAGAGCUGUUUCCUCUCUUUGAUUGCAAAAGAAAUGUCCAACUCUUGGCCAACACGUCCUGGUGGCUCCUUCCCACGCAGGAGCUGUGUGUGAGUGAGUGUGUGCACGUGUGUGUGUCUGUGUAUUUUGGAAUCAGUCACGUUCCUCAGGCCCUCAGAGCACAUCCUGUUAUGAGGAAACAGCAAUUCAAUUGUGUCUUGGUGCAACAAUACACAAUUUUGGAAAAGUUUCAAUGAUAGUCACCAAUGGAUUAUCAGGCAAUGCUUCCCUGAAGGCAUCACAGCCCAGCCAGGGGAUUUGGAGGUUUUGAUAAAAAUGGAGAACUCUGUCUAUUUUGUUAAACUCUCACAAGAAUUUUACUUUUCAUCAGCAAUGACAGAAUCCCAGAAUGGUUUGGGUUAGAAGGAACUAAAGGCCCAUCCAGUGCCAUGGCAGGGACACUUCCACUGUCCCAGGCUGCUCCAAGCCCUGUCCAGCCUGGCCUUGGGCACUGCCAGGGAUCCAGGGGCAGCCACAGCUUCUUUGGGCACCUGUGCCAGGGCUCACCAAUAAUAAGCUCAACUUUAGGUGAGGUUUAACUGCUCUGUCUAAGGCUGUGGCACCCUUUUCUUUUCUGAGUCUGCAGCUUCUGUUCUUAGGGUGCAUCUUUUUCUAACCAUCCUCUUUUAUUUCUCUUCCCAAUCCUCUACCCAAUCUUUUCAUUAGCUUUUUUUGGGGGGGUUGGGUGGGAGUGGCAUGUCACCAGGUUCCCUUUUUUUGUCAGGUAUUGUUAUAUAAAGAAAAAUUAAUGUAAGGUAAAAAAGUAGAUGCCUUUAAAAAGAUACCAAUAAAUCAUUCAAAGUCUGUCAGUUUUCUGCACAGGCUGCUAGGAGAAGAGAUUUAAUGGAUCUACAUACAACAGAGAUUUUCUAUAUUGCUUAAGUUUUCUUAUCUGGCAGAGCUUUGCAUCAUUUGGAACCAGCCCCAGUCGUGGGAAGACUCCACUGAUUUCUCUCAAGGAGUGCUUUGGUUGUGGGGGAGUCCAUGUAUAACUUCUCUAUAAGUGUUUCUGGAUGUAUAUUUUGAGGCACAAAGCAUAAAAAUACAGCACAGAAUGUGACAAUGCAGAAUAUAGAAAGAAGCUGUUGAUUACCAUUUGUAUUUUUAGACUCCUCGUUUCAGGAGGAUGCCAAAAGCAAACUGCAGCAGUCAGAUCCAACUGCAUUAUUCCUCAUGGCAGCAUAAAAUAGUGAGACAAUUUCAGAAACUAGAUUAAGAAUCAUAGUUUUUCUUGCUGCAUAAAAUUGCUGAAAAUCUACAGAAAUCUGUAUUGUGGAUCACAAGUUAAUGUAAAACCUCCAAGCUAUUUUUUUUUCCACUUUGUCUGUUUAAGCUACUGGGCAAGUUGUUACAUGAAUAAAUUUAUUUUCUUCCUCUGAAA
This is a non-coding RNA of Taeniopygia guttata (zebra finch), 22079 nucleotides long. Lineage: Eukaryota; Metazoa; Chordata; Aves; Passeriformes; Estrildidae. The record is from RefSeq and is a predicted model, not a curated record.